CAUUAACGCAUCUCAUCGGGGUUUCGGUGGCCCUGCUCCGGUUCAGGCCGUGCAGAGCGGGCCCCGUUCCCUGAAAAACCACAAACCCCCCGUGCACCUUUCGUGGCAUAGGGUGCGGCGCGAGCCUAGCCCAAAGCUGCGGUCUCACAGACACUGUAAUCGAACGUCGAGCGGACAAUGUUCCGCCCAUGAACUUAACAACUUUCAACAACGGAUCUCUUGGCUCUCGCAUCGAUGAAGAACGCCGCAAAAUGCGAUAACUAAUGUGAAUUGNNNNNNNNNNNGCUUGGAAAGGGGAACGCAGCGAAAUGGGAAAAGUAAUAUGAAGGGCAGAAUUCAGUGAAUCAUCGAAUCUUUGAACGCACCUUGCGCUCCUUGGUAUUCCGAGGAGCAUGCCUGUUUGAGUGUCUUGAAAUCAUCAAACCCCUGCACUUUUGUGCUGGGUUUGGAGCCUGGGGGCCUGCUGCCGAAGAGGUGGCUCCCCUCAAAUGCAUCGGUUGGGCCUAGGGGGUCGAACUUGACUGGGCGUUGUACCAUCCUCGCUCUAGUGGACAGACCCCGUGCCCGAGCCAGACCGCCCGCGGGGUGGCGGUCAGACAUGUAACUUGACAAUCUGACCUCAAAUCAGGUAG
Molecule: unclassified non-coding RNA, 632 nt
Filed under: uncultured Sclerotium
Lineage: Eukaryota; Fungi; Basidiomycota; Agaricomycetes; Agaricales; Typhulaceae
Description: sequence contains 18S rRNA gene, ITS1, 5.8S rRNA gene, ITS2, 28S rRNA gene
Rfam family: 5.8S ribosomal RNA (bases 200-410)
Source: RNAcentral